AGAGUAUCAUAUUGGAUACAGCUCCGUCAGGUCUGUCUGUAUACUCUCUUUGUACAAAUAAAUGUAUCUACAAUCAAACUUUCACUUUAACAGCUUGGUGCCAAAUGAACCCGGGAGUGGGGUAAUUGGACAAAAGCCAUAGAGGAGAAGAUGAUUGGAUACUGAGACCUUUGGUGCCAACAAAGGCUCAUCUGUUGUUUGAAACAAUAAGUGACCUGGAGUGCUUUCUUGCAGAGAGCAGUGCCAACAUGUUUUUUUCUGCUUCAUAGUAUUCUCUGCGGCAGUUCAAGCUGGGUGCAAGAUCAAUACACUAAAACAGUUCUGUACUGUGGAUGUGACCUCCCCGCCAAAUGCAAGAGGUACCUGGGAACAGGGAUAAACACAGAGGUGUCGCACUCUACAGGGAGCAACUUUGGACCAGUUUCUUUUAUAAAGAGAUGCAGAAAAAUGUUGUUAUCCCUAAAUAAAAUGGAUAUCAAGGAAAUG
Xenopus tropicalis (tropical clawed frog) is the source of this 486-nucleotide long non-coding RNA. RefSeq lists it as uncharacterized. The record is from RefSeq and is a predicted model, not a curated record. Lineage: Eukaryota; Metazoa; Chordata; Amphibia; Anura; Pipidae. The transcript is spliced from 2 exons.